This is an RNA transcript of Budorcas taxicolor (takin), 3021 nucleotides long. It is a transcript of the gene named zinc finger and BTB domain containing 5, with no coding region annotated. The record is from RefSeq and is a predicted model, not a curated record. NCBI's taxonomy places the organism in Eukaryota, Metazoa, Chordata, Mammalia, Artiodactyla, Bovidae. The transcript is spliced from 3 exons.
AGCCGCCGCGGUAUUCUCAGAGUGCGGUGGCGAACUGGCUGAAGGAGCUGAGGGACUAGAGGCGGGGUGGGAGGAAAAGGGAGGAAUCCCAUCACGGAGCCGCCAGCCUGGACGUUUCCACCUCCUCCGACACUGUCGGGUGGGAUCGGAGAAGGGUCACCGCCUCCUCCUUCGAGAAGGGGGGCGGAGCCCGGCUCAGGAUCAUGGAUUUUCCUGGUCACUUUGAACAGAUCUUCCAGCAGCUGAACUAUCAGAGACUUCAUGGGCAGCUCUGUGACUGUGUCAUUGUAGUGGGGAACAGACAUUUCAAAGCCCACCGCUCGGUACUAGCAGCGUGCAGCACGCAUUUCCGAGCCCUGUUCUCAGUGGCAGAGGGAGAUCAGACCAUGAACAUGAUCCAGCUGGAUAGCGAAGUGGUGACAGCAGAGGCCUUCGCCGCACUGAUUGACAUGAUGUACACCUCCACUCUCAUGCUAGGGGAGAGCAAUGUCAUGGAUGUCUUAUUGGCAGCCUCUCACCUGCACCUGAACUCUGUUGUUAAGGCAUGUAAACAUUACCUGACGACACGGACGCUGCCCAUGUCUCCCCCCAGCGAGCGUGUUCAGGAGCAGAGCGCCCGCAUGCAGCGCUCCUUUAUGCUGCAGCAGCUGGGACUGAGCAUUGUGAGCUCCGCCCUCAGUUCCAGCCAGAGCGGCGAGGAGCAGCCAGCCCCCAUGAGCUCCUCGAUGCGUGGUAACCUGGACCAGCGGACGCCCUUCCCCAUGCGCCGCCUGCACAAGCGCAAGCAGUCUGCAGAGGAGCGGGCCAGACAGCGCCUCCGACCCACCCUGGAUGAGUCUGCCAUCUCCGAUGUGACGCCAGAGAACGGGCCGGGGGUUCAUCCCCGGGAGGAGUUCUUUUCUCCAGAUUCUCUGAAAAUCGUGGACAACCCUAAGGCCGAUGGGAUGGCCGACAACCCAGACGACAACACCAUCAUGUUUGACCAGUCCUUCGGCGCUCAAGAAGAUGCCCAGGUGCCCAGCCAGUCUGACAACAGCGCCAGCAAUAUGGCCCAGCUCUCCAUGGCCUCCCGUGCCACUCAGGUCGAGACUAGUUUUGAGCAGGAAGCCACAGCUGAGAAGAGUGCUUUUCAGUGUGAAAACCCGGAGGUGGGCCUUGGUGAGAAGGAGCACAUGAGAGUGGUGGUGAAAUCUGAGCCCCUGAGCUCUCCUGAGCCUCAGGACGAAGUGAGUGACGUGACCUCCCAAGCGGAAGGCAGCGAGUCGGUGGAGGUGGAGGGGGUGGUGGUCAGUGCCGAGAAGAUAGACCUCAGCCCAGAGAGCAGCGACCGGAGUUUUUCAGAUCCCCAGUCUAGCACUGACCGGGUAGGCGACAUCCACAUUUUGGAAGUCACCAAUAACCUCGAACAUAAAUCCACCUUUAGUAUUUCAAAUUUUCUUAACAAGAGCAGAGGAAGUAACUUUAGUACCAGUCAGAACAAUGACGAUAAUCUCCCAAACACAACCAGUGACUGCAGGCUGGAGGGGGAGGCCCCUUAUUUGUUGAGUCCGGAGGCUGGGCCUGCAAGCGGGCCCUCCUCGGCCCCUGGUGCUCAUGUGGAGAACCCAUUCAGCGAGCCCGCGGACUCCCACUUUGUUAGGCCCAUGCAGGAUGUGAUGGGCCUACCGUGUGUGCAGACCUCAGGCUACCAAGGAGAACAGUUUGGGAUGGAUUUUUCCAGGUCCGGUUUGGGAUUGCACUCCUCCUUUUCCAGGGUAAUGAUGGGUUCCCCUCGAGGAGGAGCCAGUAACUUUCCAUACUACCGCCGCAUAGCUCCCAAAAUGCCAGUGGUAACUUCUGUCAGGAGCUCACAGAUCCCAGAGAAUUCUGCCAGUUCCCAGCUAAUGAUGAAUGCAGCCACGUCCUCAUUUGAAAACGGCCACCCUUCGCAGCCCGGCCCCCCGCAGCUGACAAGGGCAUCUGCUGAUGUCUUGUCGAAGUGCAAGAAGGCCUUAUCGGAGCACAAUGUCUUGGUUGUAGAGGGGGCUCGCAAGUACGCCUGCAAAAUCUGCUGCAAGACUUUCUUGACCUUGACAGAUUGCAAGAAGCACAUCCGUGUUCACACAGGUGAAAAACCCUAUGCCUGCCUGAAGUGCGGCAAGAGGUUCAGUCAGUCCAGCCACCUGUACAAACACUCGAAGACCACCUGCCUGCGCUGGCAGAGCAGCAACCUCCCCAGCACUUUGCUCUAGCCUGACCUCGAGAUAACGCCGAUGCCAGUUGUAGAACCGGAACUAAAAUCUCUGAUUUCGGGGGCCGGUCCAGCCUGACACAUCUCACCCAACGACAAGCCCGUUUUCUGCUUCGCUUCUUCACACUUUCAUGCCACUUACAGCAUCUUUCCUGGGCCUAGAUUACUGUUUUCAGGUAAACAAAAGUGAAGUCAACCCCGCUCCAUCGUGGGCUUUAUUACUGUUCUAUGGUUUUAAAGUACAGACCCUGAGCUUCUGUUGUUGCCCCAACCUAAUACUGAAGGUUGGUAAAUAUUUUCCCAUCUCUAUAAGAGGAUUGGGCAGCCCAGAGCAUAGAAGCCACCAGGGUAGCAUCUGAGACAGUCUGAGGAGACCUCUGGGUGACUGACCUGGCCUUCUCUGGGCUGACCCUGUGGCCUUCCAACCCUUUGGGCAGCAUCUGUUAGGCUGAGCCUUGGCUUGAGAGCUUCCAGGAGAACAGCACAGGUUAAUGUGUCUCUGUAGAGCUCACGAAGUCAGCUUAAUUCAUACAUGAACAUGAUUUCAUUUUUUUAUACAGUUUAUUUGAGACACCCCAAACCACUGUGCAUCAUUGAGCAAAAUCCUUCAGUUCUUAUGUUUUGAGAAGUAGUCAGCAUGUGUCUUCUCUUAAUCUAGCAUAUGCAGUUACACGUCUGUCUGUGGAUAAACUCAUAAUGCUCACUGUCAGAUUUAGCAUCUCCUAUGAACUGAUUCCCCAGGGAGGAAAACCAAAAGGGAAGCCUCUGGUCCGUCUCCUAAAAGGGGAGGG